Molecule: ribosomal RNA, 253 nt
Filed under: uncultured bacterium
Lineage: Bacteria
Description: partial 16S ribosomal RNA
Rfam family: Bacterial small subunit ribosomal RNA
Source: RNAcentral
UACGGGGGGGGCAAGCGUUGUCCGGAAUUACUGGGCGUAAAGGGCUCGUAGGUGGCCAACUAAGUCAGACGUGAAAUCCCUCGGCUUAACCGGGGAACUGCGUCUGAUACUGGAUGGCUUGAGUUUGGGAGAGGGACGCGGAAUUCCUGGUGUAGCGGUGGAAUGCGCAGAUAUCAGGAGGAACACCGGUGGCGAAGGCGGGUCUCUGGGCCGAUACUGACGCUGAGAAGCGAAAGCGUGGGGAGCGAACAGG